AGAUGAUCUCUCCUCGAAGAAAUCGAUCGAAGAAGAUGAUCUCUCCUCGUCUCUCUCGCUCUCCAUGAAUCUCUCGACUCUCUUUGUGUUUUAAUUAAUUAGGAUUUGAGUUUUGAAUCAAUCUCUGAACCAGGGUGAUAUGAUUGCUCCUAUUCUCCACGGUAAAGUAUCAACCAACAUUAGUAGUAGCCCACAUCAGACUAAUCAGCCAUGUAUCGUAAAUUGUAGCAAAGGACGUGAAUCUGAGAUUCAACGAGCACUUGCGUUACAGCAUGCUUUAGAUGAGAAGGAAAUGGAGCCUGAGAUGCUAAAGAUUGUCAAGGGUUCAAAGACAAGAGUGCAAGCAAUGGUGGAUGCAGCUAUCAAGG
Raphanus sativus (radish) is the source of this 368-nucleotide long non-coding RNA. RefSeq lists it as uncharacterized. Lineage: Eukaryota; Viridiplantae; Streptophyta; Magnoliopsida; Brassicales; Brassicaceae. The record is from RefSeq and is a predicted model, not a curated record. The transcript is spliced from 3 exons.